RNAcentral lists this transfer RNA (69 nucleotides) under Epacanthaclisis banksi. RNAcentral's name for it is "tRNA-Gln". It matches the Rfam family "tRNA". Rfam says of the family: Transfer RNA (tRNA) molecules are approximately 80 nucleotides in length. The record is from RNAcentral. Lineage: Eukaryota; Metazoa; Arthropoda; Insecta; Neuroptera; Myrmeleontidae.
UACAUUUUAGUAUAUGAUGUAUAUAGGCUUUUGAUGCCUGAGGAGAUAGUUUAAUUCUAUUAAAUGUAG